RNAcentral lists this ribosomal RNA (531 nucleotides) under Blastocystis sp. subtype 1. RNAcentral's name for it is "bacterial SSU rRNA". It matches the Rfam family "Eukaryotic small subunit ribosomal RNA", at positions 487 to 1032 of the family's 1831-position model. Lineage: Eukaryota; Bigyra; Opalinata; Blastocystidae. The record is from RNAcentral.
AAGCGGUCGUCGUCUCGCAUUGGAUUGAGACAAUCGUACAACUCUUAUCGAUAAGCCAUUGGAGGGCAAGUCUGGUGCCAGCAGCCGCGGUAAUUCCAGCUCCAAUAGCGUAUAUUAACGUUGUUGCAGUUAAAAAGCUCGUAGUUGAAGUGUGGGUGAGCGCUGUUGUGAGACUUCGGUCUCUCGACAGUAAGUCACCCCCUUCCAGUAUCCGUAAGGGGGUAUUCAGUUACUUACUAUUGUGUGUUGGUCCUUUACUGUGAAAAAAUUAAAGUGUUCAAAGCAGGCUUUUGCUUGAAUAAAUAACCAGGGAAAAAUAAUUGAAGGCUUUCGUGUUCAAUUUGAUUGGUUUGUUCAUGGAAGCAAGGUUAAAAGGAACAGUUGGGGGUAUUCAUAUUCACUAUUUAAAGGUGAAAUUCUCGGAUUUAUGGAAAAUGAACAAGUGCGAAAGCAUUUACCAAGGAGGUUUUCAUUAAUCAAAAACAAAAGCUAGGGGAUCGAAAAGAAUUAAAUACCCCGUAAUUCUUAAAA